Molecule: unclassified non-coding RNA, 353 nt
Filed under: soil metagenome
Description: partial contains internal transcribed spacer 2 and large subunit ribosomal RNA
Rfam family: 5.8S ribosomal RNA (bases 1-120)
Source: RNAcentral
GAUGAAGAACGUAGCGAGAUGCGAGAAUGUAUACGAAUUGCAGACACAUUGAGUAUCGGCCCUUCGAACGCACAUUGCGGCGCCGGGUUCGAUCCCGGCGCCUCGUCUGGCUGAGGGUUGACUAAAGCGGAAGAAGACGGUUAUUACCCGCGAAAGGCGGGAAUAACCGAGGAUCAGGCCGCUCUGAAGUUCGCAUAGGACCUAGAGCGGCGAGAUUACUGAUCGAGCAGAGGGCACCCAAGUGCACGAGCUAGAAAUUAAUGCAAGUAAGGCUCGAAUCUGCUACCCGAAAGAAUCAACCUCAGCUCAGGCGAGAACACCCGCUGAACUUAAGCAUAUCAAUAAGCGGAGGA